GUCUUUUUGAGUUAUUUUUAAAGUCUGACCUGCCCACUGAAUAUUUUUAAAUGGCCGCAGUAUUCUAACUGUGCAAAGGUAGCAUAAUCAUUAGUCUUUUAAUUGAAGGCUGGUAUGAACGGUUGGACGAAGUAUAAGCUGUUUCAUAUAAAAUUAUAUUAGAAUUUUAUAUUUUAGUUAAAAAGCUAAAAUAUUAUUAAAAGACGAGAAGACCCUAUAAAUCUUUAUAUUUAAUAUUAUUCAAAUUUUUUUGAUUAAUUUUAUUUUUAUAAUACUAAAUAUUUUGUUGGGGUGAUAUUAAAAUUUAAUAAACUUUUAAUUUUGAAUUAGAACAUUAAUUUAUGAAUAGUUGAUCCAUUAUUAAUGAUUAUAAGAUUAAGUUACUUUAGGGAUAACAGCGUAAUUUUUUUUGAGAGUUCAUAUCGACAAAAAAGUUUGCGACCUCGAUGUUGGAUUAAGAUAUAUAUUUAGGUGUAGCCGUUUAAAUAUUAAGUCUGUUCGACUUUUAAAUUCUUACAUGAUCUGAGUUCAAACCGGAGA
RNAcentral lists this ribosomal RNA (540 nucleotides) under Ceratitis fasciventris. RNAcentral describes it as "partial 16S ribosomal RNA". The stretch from base 391 to 540 matches the Rfam family "Bacterial large subunit ribosomal RNA", at positions 2473 to 2622 of the family's 2925-position model. Lineage: Eukaryota; Metazoa; Arthropoda; Insecta; Diptera; Tephritidae. The record is from RNAcentral.